GAGCCAUUAGCUCAGCUGGCAGAGCAUCUGACUUUUAAUCAGAGGGUCGGAGGUUCGAAUCCUCCAUGGCUCAC
This 74-nucleotide transfer RNA is filed under the name Lentibacillus kapialis. Its description in RNAcentral is "tRNA-Lys". It matches the Rfam family "tRNA". Rfam says of the family: Transfer RNA (tRNA) molecules are approximately 80 nucleotides in length. Their secondary structure includes four short double-helical elements and three loops (D, anti-codon, and T loops). Further hydrogen bonds mediate the characteristic L-shaped molecular structure. tRNAs have two regions of fundamental functional importance: the anti-codon, which is responsible for specific mRNA codon recognition, and the 3' end, to which the tRNAs corresponding amino acid is attached (by aminoacyl-tRNA synthetases). tRNAs cope with the degeneracy of the genetic code in two manners: having more than one tRNA (with a specific anti-codon) for a particular amino acid; and 'wobble' base-pairing, i.e. permitting non-standard base-pairing at the 3rd anti-codon position. Lineage: Bacteria; Bacillati; Bacillota; Bacilli; Caryophanales; Bacillaceae. The record is from RNAcentral.